GGAAUUGUGGCUCAGUGGUAGAGCACUUGCCUCACAUGCGUGGGGCACUGGGUUCAAGCCUCAGCACCA
This 69-nucleotide transfer RNA is filed under the name Ictidomys tridecemlineatus (thirteen-lined ground squirrel). RNAcentral describes it as "Spermophilus tridecemlineatus (thirteen-lined ground squirrel) tRNA". It matches the Rfam family "tRNA". From Rfam's summary of the family: Transfer RNA (tRNA) molecules are approximately 80 nucleotides in length. Their secondary structure includes four short double-helical elements and three loops (D, anti-codon, and T loops). Further hydrogen bonds mediate the characteristic L-shaped molecular structure. tRNAs have two regions of fundamental functional importance: the anti-codon, which is responsible for specific mRNA codon recognition, and the 3' end, to which the tRNAs corresponding amino acid is attached (by aminoacyl-tRNA synthetases). tRNAs cope with the degeneracy of the genetic code in two manners: having more than one tRNA (with a specific anti-codon) for a particular amino acid; and 'wobble' base-pairing, i.e. permitting non-standard base-pairing at the 3rd anti-codon position. The record is from Rfam by way of RNAcentral. Lineage: Eukaryota; Metazoa; Chordata; Mammalia; Rodentia; Sciuridae.